Long non-coding RNA from Biomphalaria glabrata, 3043 nucleotides. RefSeq lists it as uncharacterized. The record is from RefSeq and is a predicted model, not a curated record. Lineage: Eukaryota; Metazoa; Mollusca; Gastropoda; Planorbidae. The transcript has 3 exons.
GAUGAGCAGACGACAGACGGAAGGCCUGUGCAUUGGGGGUGGAAUAAGGAAGGGGGAAAGUGUGACUAUUGUUAUUUUUAGCAUUGACACUUGUUUUAACUAGUUUAGUUUUUUGUUUUUGUUUUUUUCUUGCAAUUCCGGAAUCGUUGCUGACUUAUGAUAAGUUAAAAAGACAUCACAUUUUGUGAGCGACUCAAAUCUUAAUGCCAAGAAACUUAAGUUUAGAGAUUUAAUUCAUUUUGCCUGUGACAUUAAUAGUACAUUGAAGAACGUGGUCGAGAUUGCCGUGGAGCCGCUCCACAAUGAGCAUGUGUCACUAGUUUCGAUUUUCAUUGUCCAGAGCAUGUGUUGCCUCAGCCUUUUGGAGUGAGUUAGUGACCAGUUAUCUGUGCUGAGUAGCCCUGACCGUACAACACCCUCCCCACAGUGUCACUUUUGAUGUGCAGACUGAAAGGAAGUGAAAUCCUUUAACAAGUUUCACGUCUGCUCAGAUUUCUAAGUCUCGCAUCCAGGAACAUAACAAUAACGGAAGCACAAUUGGAGCAUUUAAUGAGAUCUACAUUCUUCGUGAGAAUAGAAAAAUAGAACGUGAACAAAAAAUUAAUUUAACAUUUGCAAGCUUACAGAAAGACGAUCAUGUCCUUCAGAGCAGUAUACUCCAUGGAGAGACUCGAACAAAACUAUUAGGAGAGCUGCCUGGUCAAAAAACCACUGCCCAGUUCCUCUCAGAUAUAGGACAAGUUGUCUGAACCCUCCGACAUGCAGAAGAAGAAGAAGAAAGGACAAACAUAAAAAGACGCUUCACUUGUCACCAAUAACAACGGAAGCUGUUUGAGAAAAUUGUGUGGCAUGCCUUUUACUUAACGAGAAUUUUCUGUGUACCGACUGCCCAACCUGGCCACAUUUACCUCUGUAUUUUUUUUUUAACUUACAUUCAGAAGAUUUCACAGCUUCAUACACCAGUCCAAUUUUUUUUCAUCACCCCCCCCUUUUUUUUUUCCCGCUCCUCCCAAUGACAAGUCCUUCAUCCGGUUAACAAAAAAAAAUGGUGUGGGAGGAGGGAGUUUAUCAGCUUUCCAGCACUGGUUGGCAGAAAACCUAAGAUUGGGCCCGGGGAGAGGGGAGGUUGGGUUAAUUUAUCAGUUUUCCAGCACUGAACGUAGUAUCGCAUUAAAGGGAACAUUUAUUUAAUAACAUUACUGUACUACAAAACCCCUUCCUGCUCGCAUGUUACACAAAGACGAAAGACGCGAGGAGAAUAGUUACGGGGCUAAGGCAUCAAGAGCCAUAGACAGGGGAGAUGACUAAUUACUAUGUUGGGGUCUCCUUCAAACGAGGUUACGGUCAGUUUCAGCACUCAGUGCCUACACUCUCAUUUCAGUCCACUCCUAGCAAUGCCCAAUUCAGCUCAAUCGUCUCACGAGCUCUUGAGAAAACGAUUGAAAAUCUGAUUGGCUCAGGUCUUCAAUCGUUGAAAUUACCGUCGAUUCAAUCCCAGCAAUCAUUGUCUUAGAAUUCAAAGGGACACAACCUACACACUUCAAAAAUAAAUUUCGUAUUUCCCCCCAAUUUUUGGGGUUGGAUUACCAAGAUCAUUCAAUCAGAUGAACAAUUGUCCAUGUAGUAUCUCAUCUAUUUGUUCAUGUAGUAUCUCGUCUAUUUAUAUAUCUAGUGUCUCGUCAAUUAGUACAUUUAGUAUCUCAUCUAUUUGUCCAUGUUGUAUCUCAUCUAUUUGUCAAUGUAGUGGGUCCCCAAAUUUAUCCAGGUAGUAUCUUAUCAUUUUGUCCAUGUAGGAUGAAAUCAAUUUGUCCAUGUACUAUCUCAUCUAUUUGUUCACAUUUGUAAUACAUUGGGGUAUGAGGUAUACUUAUUUGCAUGCCUUGCAUUGAAGGUUUUCAACUAUGGCAAAAAAACAACUGAAAAUAUCUCGGGUCUUAGGAAAUCCGGUAUACAGAAUGCAAGAAGUGUUGAUUGGCUUCAAAUUUAGCAGUCCUAUAUGUGCACUUUGUAGCAUUUAAAAAUUAAAUGUCUGAUCUGUAUCGCUUAUAGCACAAACAGAGGUUUAUUUUUUAUUAGGCACCAAUGACCUUUUGCUAGGACCACCUUGACAUUUUAAAAAAUCUCUCCCAAUUUUGUAAUUGUAUUUUUCAUUUUUUUAACACAGUAGCCACAAUAUGUCUAUGUCUAUAUCAUCUGUAUCUAUCUAUCAAGUUCCCCCUUUUCAGUCCUUGCAAUCUAUAGGGCAGAUGAUGUAAAGGUUAUCUGUUUCUGUGGCUCACGGUUAACAAGGAUGUCAUGAAGCCAGCACAAACCUUUUACUUUUCUCCAACUAAAGUCAGGUACCCCUAAAAAUUCCGAAAUUUAAAAUCCCAGUCUUCACCAGGAUUCGAACACGGGACCCCCUCGGUCCGGAAGCAAAGCGCUUAACCACUCAGCCACCUCGCCUCAUAUCUAUCUAUCUGUAUAUCGAUAUGUUAGUCCGUUUGUCAAUGCGUUCUUCAACUCUCUCUUUAUUUACUUAUAUUUUUCCACUCUCUCUCUCUCUCUCCCUUCUCUCUCCCUUUCGUAUUUCCUUUAUUUCGUUCUUUCUCUCCAUCUCUCUGUCCUUACUUCGACCUUCUUCUCAUCGUGUUUCACUUUAAUACGCCUACUUAGCGUAGGUCCCACCACGGAACUAAACUAGACUAAUUUACAUGGCUGAUCAAUAUCAUUAAGGUCCGCUAUUAUACAUAUAUAUUGAUUGUCAGACUGCUGCUGCUAGACAACCUUGGUGUGUGUGUGUGUGUGUGGCUUUGUGUGUGUGUGUGUGUGCAUGUGGGGGGGGGGAAUGUACCUACGAUUCUGUGCGCAGGGCCGGCCUUAUAUAAUUGGAGGGAAGUGACUUUGGGGUCCCAAUUAAAUAGAAUUUUUUUUAAAAAGCGAAAAACUAAAAUAACGCAUUUAUUUAAAAAAAAAACCUAGUGUGUUCCAAUAUUAACAUUGAAGAAAAAGUUUCGCUACUUCAGUUUAAUUAUUUUGUGUAUGUUAUUUGUAUACUGUUAUU